CCGUUCUCGUACGAUCACCGAAGUUAAGCAACGUCGAGCCUGGUCAGUAUCUGGAUGAGUGACCAUUUCGGAAUACCAAACGCUGUAA
Molecule: non-coding RNA, 88 nt
Organism: Acanthosepion pharaonis
Lineage: Eukaryota; Metazoa; Mollusca; Cephalopoda; Sepiida; Sepiidae
Source: the annotation of a GenBank genome assembly